GGUCGCUGCCAGCGCCGCGCAUGUGACGGGAGGCGACAGCAGCGCCUGCUAUUUAUACAUAUUGCCAGGCCGCGCUACGUGACCCCGCGGGGACCCCCCGUCCUCUCCCUGCGGGGCAAACAGCCACGAGGACUCACAGAACGGGUGGCACUGGCAAAGGGCGGCCACGGGGCGACCCGCCGGGUCUGCGCCCGGCUGUGCCAGAGCCGUCCCUGUCACCCCUAUAGGGUCGGGUGGCCCCACCGUGCCCCGUGGCCACCCCAACUGCCCCCUGCCCGCCAGGUCCAUGCGGCCCGGUGGGGGACUCCCCCGUGCCCACAGGAACACGAAGACGUCCCCAUAUCCGGUGAGGAUACGAGGCACUCCUGUGCCUGAUGGCCCACUGGGGACUUUGGGCCAUCCCUGUGCCCUGUGGGGACACCAAGCUGUCCCUGUGCCCAGCAGCGGCACGAAGCCACCUGUGUGCAGAAGGCACGGAUCUGCACCCAGCAGGGACUGAUCCCUGUGCUGGGGGUGGCACUGAAGUGUCCCCGUGCCCGAUGGUGGCACAGAGCUGUGCCCAGCGGGGACGCUGUGCUGUCCUCAUGCCCAGUGGGGACACAGAUCUGUGCCCAGCAGGAACACUGAGCAGUUCCCAUGCGUGGCCCAAGUGCUGGGGCAGAACCCACAGCCUGGCAGGCACCAGCAUGCAGAGAGCAUCCCCAUGGGGCACAUCACAACCCCAUGGGGCACAUCACAACCCCACGGGGCACAUCACAUCCCCACGGGGCACACCACAACCCCACGGGGCACACCACAACCCCACGGAGCACACUACAACCCCAUGGAGCACACUACAACCCCACAGGGCACACCACAACCCCACGGGGCACACCACAUCCCCAUGGAGCACACCACAACCCCACAGGGCACACCACAACCCCACGGGGCACACCACAACCCCAUGGAGCACACCACAACCCCAUGGAGCACAUCACAACCCCAUGGAGCACAUCACAACCCCACGGAGCACACCACAACCCCACGGGACACACCACAACCCCACGGAGCACACCACAACCCCACAGGGCACAUCACAACCCCACGGAGCACACUACAACCCCACGGGGCACACCACAUCCCCACAGGGCACACCACAACCCCACGGAGCACACUACAACCCCACAGGGCACAUCACAACCCCACAGGGCACACCACAACCCCACGGGGCACACCACAACCCCACGGGGCACACCACAACCCCACAGGGCACACCACAACCCCAUGGGGCACAUCACAUCCCCACGGGGCACACCACAACCCCACAGGGCACAUCACAACCCCACAGGGCACAUCACAACCCCAUGGGGCACACCACAACCCCACGGAGCACACCACAACCCCACGGGGCACACCACAACCCCACAGGACACACCACAUCCCCACGGGGCACAGCCCCAGCUGGCACAAGCCCUGGCUGCAGAGCACAGCGGGGCUGCUCCUUGCUGGCCCCCCAACCCCCCCCCCCCAGAGCUGCCUGGUGGAGCAGAGGGGCCCAGCCGGCCUGCAGGAAGGGGCCCCGCGCUCCGGGCAGCAGCGCCGUCCCCUGCUCACACACAUGUGCACACACGUGUACACAAACACACGGAGCUCUGGGGGCUGUGUUGUGGUGGGGAGCUGUGCACGCUGGCACACUCGCAGUGCCUUGCAUGUACCCGUGUGUGGAAGGCUCACACUUAGGGACAGGGGGUGAUGGAGCACACACAGGUGACGCCCGGAUCACACUCAGCCCCACUGCGGCAGGCAGGCUGAGCACAGCCGUGGCAUGGAGGGAAACUGAGGCGCGGGCUGAGGGGGGCAGGAGCCACUUCUGUUCUCUCUGAGUGACACUUCAGGGGACCAAGGCCAGGUUGGGGGCAGCGGGCGGCAUCACGGAGGCCCACACCCCUACAUGGAGUCACCGUGGGGGGCUGCGUGCCCCACAGCACUGCGACCACAAGCACCAGCUCUGUGCACACAGAACGGUGGGGUGCUGUGCCCACAUGAGCCACCAGACAGAACACAAGGCAUCAGAUGGGACCUGGACCGUGGCUGAGUCCCCAUGGCUCCGAGCCAGCCUGCCCUGUGGGGCUGUUCCCCAGAGCUGUGCCCCGAGUCCCUGUGGGGCCUCACACAUCCCUCACCCCACAGCUGCUUUGCCUGGCCCCGUCCCGGCAGCCCCACACAUGGCAGCGGGCUGGGGGGCCACAGUGUGCUGGGGGUCCCGUGGAGUGGGUGGGGGUCCCAGGGCGUGGGGAUCCCACGGUGCAGAUGGGGGUCUCAUAGUGUGAGUGGGGGUCCCGCAGUACUGUGGGGGUCCCAUGGAGUGGGUGGGGGUCCCAAGGUGUGGGUGGGGGUCCUGCAGUAUGUGGGGGUCUUGUGGCGUGGGCGGGGGUCCCAUGGUGUGAGUGGGGGUCCUACAGUAUGGUGGGGGUCCCGUGGAGUGGGUGGGGGUCCCAGGGCGUGGGGAUCCCACGGUGCAGAUGGGGGUCUCAUAGUGUGGGUGGGGGUCCCGCAGUACUGUGGGGUGCCGUGGGGUGGGUGGGGGUCCCGCAGCGCCCCCUGGUGUCCGACACGCGGCGCUGCCUGCAGCACGAGCGCCCUCUGGUGGGCGCAGCCCCGAGCCGGGCGGACGCGCGUUGUGUGCGGCCCUACCGGGAGGGGGGAGCAGCCGAGCUCAGCUGUGUGGUGGGGAGGGACACGGAGGGAUCCUCGUGGAAGAGGAGCGAGAUGAGGAGGCGACGGGAGGCAGCCAGCACGGCGUCACCGCGGGCACAGCGCGCCUGAGCCGCCCGCGAUGGAGCGCCGGCAUCGCUGCACAACGGGAGGGCGGCUGCUGUGGCUGCCUGCAGUUGUGCGAGGCCUCUGGCACGGCCCUGCACCGCGUCCCGAUCUCUGCGUUGGAGAGAGAUGGGUUCCGAGCUGGAUGAAGGCUUGGCUGGAUGGCCGCAGCCACAGGGCUGUGCUCAGUGGCUCCAUGUGCAGGUGGAGGCGGUGACGAGCGCUGUCCCCCAGGGCUCCAUCUUAGGAGCGGUGCUCUUCAAUCCCUUUCUCAGUGACACAGAGGAUGGGAUCAGUGCACCUCAGCAGCUGCAGAGGACACCGAGCUGAGCGGUGCGGCUGCUCCGAGCGGAGGAAGGGCUGCCGUCCAGAGGCCGCCGGUCGGUCACGCAGCGCCGAGGGGCGCUCAGUACGGCACGUGGAGGCCGUGCAGGCCGUGCAGGCGCUCCCAUAACGCCCGAAAGGAUCUGGGUGAAGGAUCCGGGGCGGUGUCGGCCUCUGCUCUCCGUAACGGCGGAGCGAUGACGCGGACGGCCCGGAGCCGCCCCGAGGCGCCG
RNAcentral lists this long non-coding RNA (3356 nucleotides) under Gallus gallus (chicken). RNAcentral's name for it is "lncRNA (ENSGALG00010026510.1)". Lineage: Eukaryota; Metazoa; Chordata; Aves; Galliformes; Phasianidae. The record is from RNAcentral.